CUGUAGCUCAGUUGGAUAGAGUGCUUGACUACGAAUCAAGAGGCCGGGGGUUCAAAUCCUCCCAG
This 65-nucleotide transfer RNA is filed under the name pig gut metagenome. It matches the Rfam family "tRNA", at positions 5 to 66 of the family's 71-position model. From Rfam's summary of the family: Transfer RNA (tRNA) molecules are approximately 80 nucleotides in length. The record is from RNAcentral.